Molecule: long non-coding RNA, 5381 nt
Filed under: Sus scrofa (pig)
Lineage: Eukaryota; Metazoa; Chordata; Mammalia; Artiodactyla; Suidae
Description: lncRNA (ENSSSCG00030065258.1)
Source: RNAcentral
UUUUUUUUUUUUCUUUUUGCCAUUUCUAGGGCUGCUUCUGCAGCAUAUGGAGGUUCCCAGGCUAGGGGUCGAAUCGGAGCUGUAGCUGCCGGCCUACACCAGAGCCACAGCAACGCGGGAUCCGAGCCGCAUCUGCAACCUACACCACAGCUCAUGGCAACGCCGGAACCUUAACCCACUGAACAAGGCCAGGGAUCAAACCCACAAUCUCAUGGUUCCUAGUCGGAUUCGUUAAACACUGCACCAUGACAGGAACUCCGACAACUGAUUUUUUAAUCAGGUAAUGUCGAUCAGACAAUAUACAAUAUAUCCUGGAACCAAUCCCACCCCCACCCCCCAUGUAUACUGAUGGGGGACAGUACAUUCUCUCAGUUACUUGACAGUCCGAUAGGGUCAUUCUUCUGCUCCCAACUCGACUUCCUCACCUUAAAACCUAGGGAGACAGUGGAUACAAAUGACCUCAUGGCACCCAACUCUGUCACAUGCCAGGUAGAGGAGUGAGGAGAAGAGAGUCAUAUGUCACAUGCCCAGCCAGGGCCAGGGUGGUACCUUGGCCCUAGGUGGUAUCAAGACCCCCACACCAUGUUCUCUCCCUUGAAAUAGCCUCUUAUUCUGGCACACUACCUAGAAAGUGUCCACAAGAGGUAUCACAUCCUUCCAGGUUUACUGCUUCUUUAGCCUUUUCUCUCUGCCUAGAGAAGCUCCACUCAUUGUUUCCCUACUUUUUUAGGGGUUUUGUUGGUGGUGGUAGUGGUGGUUUGUUUUUGUUUGGGGGCUGAAUUACCCAUGGUGAUUAACGCUCUCCUUGUUAUCAUUCCUUGGAACUCCAAAGUAUUGCCAAACUGUUGGUUUUUUUGUUUUUUGUUUUCUCCCACCAAGGAGGAUUAGAUGAUGUUUUGCUCCCAAAUGUCCUCUAAAAUGUUGGAUUCUUACCUAUAACUACAUCUAAAACCCAGAACCUAACCUAAAUCCCAGAUGGAAAAAGUAGUCAAAACACUAUAUUUUAAGCCCAAACUAGUUAAAAUGCAUUUUGCCUCCAGCAACAGAAAAUCUGACUUAUGAGAAGUUGUUUAAUUAUCUUACACAACAUGAGUUCUGGAAAGAGGCUGUUACGGAGUUGUGCAGGGGUUCAAAAAUGUGAGGGUGCUGGGUCAGCAUUUUGUUUCUCUUGACCGUUGCAUCACGCUUGCAAGACAGCCACAGCCACGGCAGACAUUAUGCCUGCAUGCUAGCAUGCCAAGCAUGGAAGGAGGGGAGAGGGAAAAAAGGUCUGCUCUCACAAGGAUCUAGCCUUUUAUGUGAAAUCGAAAUAUUUUCUAGAAGACUUCUCCUUUCCUUUGAUUAGCUAUAAAAGUCUCAGAGACACCCCUAGAUGCAUGGAAGCUGCCAAGAGAGUAUCUGUCAAAGCAGAAUGAGAUGACCACGCUUGGCUCAUCUUAGUCACCAUGCAUCCUCCAGGGCUGUCAGAGGAACCUACCUUCCCCUCCUUAUCCCUCUGUUAAUAGAAUCCAGGUUCCGUUAGCAGGGAAGGGAUGGUCAUAUGGCUAUUAUAUAGGCAAAGUAUGCCGCAAGCUAAAUUUACAAAAUAAAUGCGUUAGUUAUCUGAAUGAGAUGGAUUGCACCCAAGAGUUCUGAAGGAAUUCAAGAAUGAAACUGGCCAAAAUAUGUAACAUACUCAUAUAAACGGCCACUGAUUCUAAAGACUGCCUUGCUAAAAAUGAAUCCUCUAUUCAUAAGAACUCCAAGGUGGAACCGAAGAAAUGGCUGAGAGAGUCUAUAAGAAGAAGAUGGGAGCCACUGCGAGCCCAAUUGUUUCAGUGACCCUUGUAAGAAGAGGUUUUCCUCACAACUGUUUAGAGUCACUAUGGAUAGAACAGGCUAACACUUACGUUAGUGAUAAUGGGUCACUUAGCAGAAAUCGGAGUGCAGGCUGGGUAGAGCAAACCUGAGAGGGUGGGUAAGGGCAUGGCAGUUACAACAAGAAAAUGGUGAAGAGAAAUUCAAUACACAACUCAACAAGACCAUCAAGUGUGUAAACAAUACCAGACUUAACUGCAAGGAGGCACCAAGCUGGGUUGUACCCUGAGGCAGAACGAGUAAGAACGUCUCACCAAGACCAGAUGUGCUCUGGAAAGGCAGGAAGAAAACAGAACAUCAAUAAAGCACUGCAUGAAAAGGCUUUAAAAAGGAUACUAGUGCAAGAUUCCUGGAUUUUGAAUGAAGAGUCUCCCAAAGAGAAUUUUUAGGGCCAUUUCAUUCAAAUGUAGCACCUAUUUUAUGAAAACCAGCUGGUCACCCCGAGUCAGUUAAGGCAAUUAUGAACUGUCUGUGCAAGACUACAUACAGAAGUGAGUGUACAUACAUGUGUGAAGAACCGAACCUCUGGGAGUAACUUUUAAGGACGAAAAAAUCUCCUGAACAUCACAAUUCCACAUCUGUUGAUGAUUUGUCUCAACUCCAUCUCCCAGAGAUAUAACAUUUAUCAAAGUAUUCAUUUUAAUAUGUGGUUAUAAAAUCUAAGCAUCCUUAUUAAUAGGAAAGCAACAUGGUUCAAACAAAAGAAAACACACGUCUAUUUGUUAAAACUCUUUGAGAAAGAAGGAAUCUGAAUAAAGAGGAACAGAAUUUCUUCCUCAUUAAUAAUAGUUUCUCCAUGUAUUUUUUUUAAUCUAUUGAAUGAAUUGUGAUGGAAUCAAAGCAAUAAUGUAGGGCUGGAGAUUCAUAUAUAAAAAGCUGCUUAGGGAACGGUGUGCUUAAAAAGUAUCUCUGAGUGGAGAAGCAUAAUAGGAUGAGCCUGGCCAGUGCUGUUCAGCAUCUUUUCCUUAGGGAAAAGGACACUGGUGUGUCUCACAGGUGACACUAAACUGGUAUGGGGAGAGAAGACAUAAGCACUGAGAAAAAGAUACAAGAAACUCUUAUAAACCUAUGCAACUGGCCAAAGUAAAAAAGAAGAGUGACUCUUAAUGAAGGUAAGUUAAUAGCGUGAUGCAUUACAAUAUAAACAAUACAAACCUCCCAUGUGGCGGGAAAGACUGAGUUUUAGUUAAGAAAGAAUGAUUUCCUGAGGACACCUGGCCAGUGUGCUGCUAAGGACCAAGGUCAGUAAAAUGCUGAUCAUCAUCAGAAUAUACAUUUGAACUGGGGCAGAAAGGUACACCUUUCCUUUGUAUAAAUGAUAACAUUUCAGUUUCUUACAUGCAGGGUUCGACUCCGUCCCUAAGAACUAUACAAUAGAACCGGAGUUUCAGAUAAGAGCAGUUAAAAUGGUUUCUGGGAUAUUUAAGCUGCCGUAUUAAGAUAAAAUUCCAAGAAGCUUGAGAAGUUUUUGUUUGUAAAACAGAGACUCCUCACCCUUUUUGGUCAUCUAGUGAGCCUAUGGAUGCCUUUGAGGGAUACUGCUUUUAAAUGUAUAAAACAGAAUACACCAUUUACUAAGAAAGCCAAUUAUGAUGCUCUCCAGUUUUCAAGAUAUUCUAAAAAACAAACUGGUGACAGAGCAACAUAUAAACUUCUUUAUUAACACAGUAAGUAAUAAGGUCUUAUAGUCUAUGGUAGUUGUAAUAACUACUACAGUUUCAGAGUAGUAAUGAGCAUUACUGAUAGUUCUCUGUAUCUUCAACAAUUAUAACAUGAUAUAAACAUAUGUGUGAGGCCUGUUGGUGGUAUCUGUAAUGGAAUAAAAUCCUAAAUUUCAAUUCGAUGUUAAAGAUGUAAUUUUUCCCGUCCAAGUUCAUGAAUCCCUUGGGUUUCUCCUGUAGGCCCCUUGAGGGUUUGGGAACUCAAAGCUAAGUAUCCUUGCCAUAACGGCAAGAGCUGAGAAAUAAAGGACCAAUGACUAUCAUGCAAUGAAUAAUAGAGAUAAACUUGCUUCAUGUCUACAUACAUGAAGAUGGGUGGGAUAAAUGCAUAAGAAAUGUGGUACAGGGAGUUUAGGACCCCAAAAGAAGAAGUUUACAACAAGCCUUAUAAAGACGUAUACCUCAUUAUAUCAGUAGGUUGUACUGACUAGAAAAUAUUUUUAAAAGGUUUGGACAAACUUGUUAAUUUUAGCCAUAAAUGGCCCCUAAGAGAGAAGAGCUGGAGACACUUAACCUUUAAGGUUGACAUCAGGGAAGACAAUAGAAUUUUCAUUUGAAGAUAUAAUUUGAUGAAGAAAAUAAAGUUGGAGACAGUUGGGUCUGAACCACUAUUGUAACAUUUCUCUCCUCCUUUAAGAAUCCACCCUGUCCUCACGAAUCAGUUUUUUUUUUCCUUUCCUCUGUACACAGAUAAAACAAAUUACAAUACAACCCACAAUGAUUACAUAUCUGUAUUUUACCACAGACCUCAGCAUCUGGUACUGAACACUAAAAACUUGCACUCCAGUUGUUGAUUUAAGGUGUGUUCUAUGCAUCACAAAAUAUCAUAUUUGCGGUGAAGCAGGUUAAAGGUGAUUUUAGGGCCCAGAAAAGAAGUUUAAAGGAGCAAAGAGGUAGGGUCAUAGUGUCAAGGGUAGCAAGAGUUCAAAGUAGUUUUUAGAAUCUCUGAGAAUCAAUGUCCAGGGGUCACUUAACAUAGAGGCGAGUCAGCACCUUGGACAGCUCAGUCACAGGUGUGAUUCUCCCCACUGCUUUUAUUCUAACAGGAACUUAAACCCAUGUGAAACACCUAUCUGGGUUUGCCUGGCUCCACCCUGCCCUUCUUAUCUAGCACAUACUCUACUCAAGAAUUUCUUUUUGUUUUUAGGGCCAAACUCGUGGCAUACGGAAGUUUCCAGGUAUAUCACUAGUGUGCUGCCCCCCCUCCACCCCAAAAAAGCAAUGAGACUUCCUCAAGGUCAAAUUACUAUGAAGUAGCAAAACCACAUAUUCUGGUGUCAAGUCUAGUGAUCAGUAUGUGAUACUUGCUGCCUGUUCAUCAAUGUAAUUUUUUUUCUUUUUUAGGGCAUAUGGAAGUUCCUAGGCUAGGGGGUGAAUUGGAGCUGCAGGUGCUCAGCCACAGAAACACUAGAUCCAAGCCACAUCUGCUACCUACGCUGCAGCUUGUGGCAACACUGGAGCCUUAACCCACUGAGCGAGGCCAGGGAUCAAACCCACAUCCUCAGAGAAACAAUGGUGGGUCCUUAACCUGCUGAGCCACAACAGGAACUCCCCAUAAAUGUCAUUAAAUGAACUUAAUAUUUUCUACUUCUUUCUAGUUUUAUUUCAUUCAUUUGAUUAAUAUUUAUUAAAUGCCAGCUGCUGGAUUAAAAAAAAAAAAGAGUUGAAAAGAAUGGGCCACUGUCUUAAAGGAGGUUUCAGAUAAUAAGAAAAACAAUAAUAGUGAGAAGAGACAAAUAUAAUACAGUAUGAUUCUAAUGGGAGAGGAAUUACUCUUGAAGUAGGACUAGAACUUGGCAGCCA